Molecule: ribosomal RNA, 403 nt
Filed under: uncultured bacterium
Lineage: Bacteria
Description: partial 16S ribosomal RNA
Rfam family: Bacterial small subunit ribosomal RNA
Source: RNAcentral
AUUGAACGCUGGCGGCAGGCCUAACACAUGCAAGUCGAGCGAGCGGCGGACGGGUGAGUAAUGUAUGGGGACUGCCCGAUCGAGGGGGAUAACUACUGGAAACGGUAGCUCAUACCGCAUACUAUCGGAUAACCCAUAUGGGAUUAGCAGGUAGGUGAGGUAAUGGCUCACCUAGGCGACGAUCCCUAGCUGGUCUGAGAGGAUGAUCAGCCAAACUGGGACGUGGACACGGCCCGGACUCCUACGGAGGCAGCAGUGGGGAAGAGUGCACAAUGGGCGCAAGCCUGAUGCAGCCAUGCCGCGUGUAUGAAGAAGGCCCUAGGGUUGUAAAGUACUUUCAGUCGGGAGGCGUUACCGACAGAAGAAGCACCGGCGAACUCCGUGCCAGCAGCCGCGGUAAUUC